RNAcentral lists this ribosomal RNA (604 nucleotides) under uncultured Acetivibrio sp. Its description in RNAcentral is "bacterial SSU rRNA". It matches the Rfam family "Bacterial small subunit ribosomal RNA", at positions 28 to 454 of the family's 1533-position model. Lineage: Bacteria; Bacillati; Bacillota; Clostridia; Acetivibrionales; Acetivibrionaceae. The record is from RNAcentral.
GACGAACGCUGGCGGCGUGCCUAACACAUGCAAGUCGAGCGGUUCAUUAUGUGACACUGUGUAUCAUAAGGCUAAAUCUGGUCAAGUCUUCAAAAAAUGAAAAGAGCAAGAAAAUAACAUUUUGAUGGAGCAGCUAGAAGAAAAGUAGACUAGCUGCGGAGUAACUGGAGAAAAGCAGACUAGAGCGAAGCAAGAAGCGAGUAAUGCGAGAUAAAUAUGGUACAGUGUGUUGCAUAAUGGAUAGCGGCGGACGGGUGAGUAACACGUGAGCAAUCUGCCCUUGACAGGGGGAUAACACAAGGAAACUUGUGCUAAUACCGCAUAAAAUUACGAUGUGGCAUCACAUUGUAAUCAAAGGAGAAAUCCGGUAAAGGAUGAGCUCGCGUCCGAUUAGCUAGUUGGUGGGGUAAAGGCCUACCAAGGCGACGAUCGGUAGCCGAACUGAGAGGUUGAUCGGCCACAUUGGGACUGAGACACGGCCCAGACUCCUACGGGAGGCAGCAGUGGGGAAUAUUGCGCAAUGGGGGAAACCCUGACGCAGCAACGCCGCGUGGAGGAUGAAGGUUUUCGGAUUGUAAACUUCUUUGAUGAGGGACGAAACAAA